GACGAACCGUGCGAACGUUAUUCGGAAUCACUGGGCUUAAAGCGCGUGUAGGCGGGCCGGCACGUCGGUCGCUGAAAUCCCCCGGCUCAACCGGGGAACGGGCGCCGAUACGACCGCCCUGGAGGGGCGUAGGGGGACCUGGAACUUCCGGUGGAGCGGUGAAAUGCGUUGAGAUCGGAAGGAACGCCCGUGGCGAAAGCGAGGUCCUGGACGCUUACUGACGCUGAGACGCGAAAGCCAGGGGAGCGAACGGG
This 254-nucleotide ribosomal RNA is filed under the name uncultured bacterium. RNAcentral's name for it is "partial 16S ribosomal RNA". It matches the Rfam family "Bacterial small subunit ribosomal RNA", at positions 524 to 776 of the family's 1533-position model. The record is from RNAcentral.